RNAcentral lists this ribosomal RNA (492 nucleotides) under uncultured bacterium. RNAcentral's name for it is "partial 16S ribosomal RNA". It matches the Rfam family "Bacterial small subunit ribosomal RNA", at positions 29 to 507 of the family's 1533-position model. The record is from RNAcentral.
AGUGAACGCUGGCGGUAGGCCUAAUACAUGCAAGUCGAACGGCAGCACAGUAAGAGCUUGCUCUUACGGGUGGCGAGUGGCGGACGGGUGAGGAAUACAUCGGCAUCUAAUUUUUCGUGGGGGACUACGUAGGGCAACUUACGCUAAUACCGCAUACGACCUACGGGUGAAAUCAGGGGUUCUUCGCACCUUGCGCGUCACAUUGAGCCGGUGUCGGAUUAGCUAGUUGGCGAGGUAAAGGCACACCAAGGCGACGAAGCGUAGCUGGUCUGAGAGGAUGAUCAGCCACACUGGAACUGAGACACGGUCCAGACUCCUACGGGAGGCAGCAGUGGGGAAUAUUGGACAAUGGGCGCAAGCCUGAUCCAGCCAUGCCGCGUGAGUGAUGAAGGCCUUCGGAUUGUAAAACCCUUUUAUUAGGAAAGAAAAGCAGCAGAAGAAAACCCCGCUGUUCUGACGGUACCCAAAGAAUAAGCACCGGCUAACUUCGUG